Molecule: ribosomal RNA, 329 nt
Filed under: uncultured Rhizobiaceae bacterium
Lineage: Bacteria; Pseudomonadati; Pseudomonadota; Alphaproteobacteria; Hyphomicrobiales; Rhizobiaceae
Description: bacterial SSU rRNA
Rfam family: Bacterial small subunit ribosomal RNA
Source: RNAcentral
UGUCGUUAGCUCGUGUCGUGAGAUGUUGGGUUAAGUCCCGCAACGAGCGCAACCCUCGCCCUUAGUUGCCAGCAUUAGUUGGGCACUCUAAGGGACUGCCGGUGAUAAGCCGAGAGGAAGGUGGGGAUGACGUCAAGUCCUCAUGGCCCUUACGGGCUGGGCUACACACGUGCUACAAUGGUGGUGACAGUGGGCAGCGAGCACGCGAGUGUGAGCUAAUCUCCAAAAGCCAUCUCAGUUCGGAUUGCACUCUGCAACUCGAGUGCAUGAAGUUGGAAUCGCUAGUAAUCGCGGAUCAGCAUGCCGCGGUGAAUACGUUCCCGGGCCUU